This 870-nucleotide ribosomal RNA is filed under the name Phylloporus sp. HKAS 74686. Its description in RNAcentral is "eukaryotic LSU rRNA". The stretch from base 282 to 436 matches the Rfam family "5.8S ribosomal RNA". Lineage: Eukaryota; Fungi; Basidiomycota; Agaricomycetes; Boletales; Boletaceae. The record is from RNAcentral.
GUACAAGGUUUCCGUAGGUGAACUGCGGAAGGAUCAUUAUAGAACAACCGAUAUCAUAUCARGGRAAGGAAGGGGUAGAGAGACCGUUCGCCGAGUCAGACUUUGAUUAGUUUGGCGUCGUGCACGUCCCCUCGCCUUCUACCGUCUGAGAUAUGUAUCAACAUACACACCUGUGCACCUUUUGUAGAUUUCUCCCCCUUCGAGAGAGGGGUGGUGGCGAUCUAUGUUUUCAUCAUAUCACACACAUCGUAUGGCCAGAAUGUAACAAACAAUGAUAAUACAACUUUCAGCAACGGAUCUCUUGGUUCUCGCAUCGAUGAAGAACGCAGCGAAUUGCGAUAAGUAAUGUGAAUUGCAGAUUUCCAGUGAAUCAUCGAAUCUUUGAACGCAUCUUGCGCUCCUUGGUAUUCCGAGGAGCAUGCCUGUUUGAGUGUCAUUCAAAUCAUCAACCAAAUAUUCGUUUAUUUGGCUUGGAGUUGGGGGUUGCUGGCAGCGAUGUCGGCUCUCCUGAAAUGCAUUAGUGAUCGAGUUGGCUAGUCUUUGACGUGCACGGCCUUGGACGUGAUAAUGAUCGUCAUGGCUGGAGCGUCUUCCCCUAGACUGUGUACAUAGGUUGCUUCUAAUCAUGAAUAGAGACAGAAAGAGAGGAGGAAGGAUUAGAGAGAGGAGAGUCUGACCUUGGUCUGAUAUGAUUUUUGGUCUAUCAAGCUUAGCUACUAGGCAGUCUUUCGAUCAGAAAGGCUGGCGAACACAAGCAAGACAACAAGCACAAGCUCUCCAUCUGUCUGUCUGUCCUUCUUUCUUUUCUUCUCUAACAUCGACAUUGGACUUGACCUCAAAUCAUGUAGGACUACCGCUGAACUUAAGCAU